UGUGCAGUCGCCACUCAUUUGUAAAGAGGUU
RNAcentral lists this non-coding RNA (31 nucleotides) under Rattus norvegicus (Norway rat). Lineage: Eukaryota; Metazoa; Chordata; Mammalia; Rodentia; Muridae. The record is from RNAcentral.